CUAAAAUUGCGAAAGAGAUUGUUGAAAGGAUAGACAACGUGAACUUGUCUACCACCUUCAAAGUGAUUGAUGGAGAUUUACUGAAGGAGAAUAAAAGUUUCAAAAUCACUGUUAAAGCUACACCAAAGGGUACUGGAAGUGUAGUGCCCUGGACACUGGAGUAUGAGAAGCUGAAUAAAAAUAUUCCAGACCCACACUCUUUCCUUCAAUUUCUGAUUGAGGUCUCCAAAGAUAUUGAUGCCCAUCUUACCAAACCAUGAACUUCUAGCCUUAUUCAUCAAUAAACUGUUUGCUUGCUAUAUAUUAUAUAUAUGCGUGUGAUUAAGCUUACAGUGGAAUAUACAUGUAAUAAAUAAAGAAAUCAGUGAACCAGGUUGCUCAUAGGUUGGCUAGAGCAUCAGUUUCUGUAACUGGUUCCAUGGGGUGGGGUCCUGUCCAUCCAAGCAGAAUUGAUGAUGCUUUGCUCUUAAAUAUAAAUAAUAUAUAAUGCAGUUUGAAUUUUCAAAAAAAAAAAAAAAGUCUGGAUUUUAUUAAUCCUUCGAUCCUUUAUAUAUAUAUAUAAACUUUAAUUGUAUGUGGUUUUUCUUGAUGUACUAAUAGAUGUGAGUUUUAUUAAGGAUGUCUCCAUGCUCUUAUUUAAAAAGUUUUGGCUAUAUAUAUAUAUAUAUAUAUAUUUAUAUCAGUGAAAAGGAAUAUAAAAAAUCAAAUGUGUCAAACUUAAUGAAAUGAAAGGAACAUAAACAGAAAGACAGAUAAAACAUAAAAAAACAAAUGUUGUAGAAGAUCCAAAAAUGAGAACAAUAAUAUAGUGAUGAUCAUAAAUCAAGAAUUUACAGAAACUCACCAUAUUCUGAAAAUUGUCAUUUUCUAAACUCUUAAACUAUUCCUAUAAAACGGAAUUUAAAGAAAAAUCACCAUAUUCUGAAAAUUGUUAUUUUCUAAACUCAUUUAUCAAUCACCUAUAUAAAAUUUAAAGGAAUAUUUUCGUUGAUAUUAUAGAAUUAACAUGCAAGUCUGAUAUUCAUAAAAAAUUAUACAAUUCAAUUAUGCUAGUUAUUUGUUUGUUCAAAUAAAAAAUUAUUUGUUUAUACAAUUCAAUUCAAUUAGCGUUUGAACUAGUUUUAAGAGGUUAAAAUAUCGUUUUAUAAAAAUUUAACCCAUAUAAUAUUUAGCUUUUAGUAUUUUAUGAAAAGCUAUUUAACCAGCUAAUAGCUAAACCUACUAAAACAGCUAAUAGCUACCAAAAUAAUUAAUUUUGUCGAGCAGACUAUAAACGUGGACUUCUUAUUUUUGAAAGAAAAAGUAGACAUUUAAGUAGUCCAUUUUUAUUUAUAAACAUAUAGUACAACUAAAAUUAUCCACAAAGUUUGGAGUUUUUUUUUAAUAAUCUAGAAAUAUUACUGUUUUGUUCUUUUUUUUCCCACCGUCAAAAAUACACUCAUUUGAACCAAAACAUUGUAAUUGAUUUGAUAUAUAUGUGACCACUUAUCUAUCCCUAAAUUGUAGUACCACUUAUCUUGAUAAAAUAAAAUAAUAUAAAUAAAUAAAUAAAUAAAAUACUUUUUUCUAAAAAAUAUUGAUAAUAUUGACGUUAGACAACUAAUUUCUGAAUUAGCAAUUAGAUUCAUGAGGGACUGAUUUCCUUCCCUUAAAAUGAUAGUAUUAAAUUUUGGUUAUUAUUUCCUAUUAAGCCAUCAAUAUAUUGACUCUUGAAAUAUCGUUUUUCAUUUCUCAAAAAAAAAAAAAAAAAAAAAAAACUUUUUUUCAAUUGCUUUGAAAACUAAUCUAACAUCAUUUUGAAAAAAAAUAGUAGCGAAGUCAUUCGAUUUGAUUGAUUUAUACACUUGAGCUAAAAUUUUAAUCAAUAGCUAAUAAUUGUUAGAAUUACAUAUUAGCAACUAAUAUCAUCAUCAUUUUUGAAGCAUUUUCGUAUUGAUUUAUAUUAUAUUUAAAUUAUAUUAAAUUUAUAAAAAUAAUUAUGACUAAUUUCCUUUUCAAUUUAAAAAUUUCAUGUGAUUAUUUUACUUAUAAUUGUUUUAAAUAAAUAAAUAAUCAUUAAAAAUUAUUAUAAAUAUAAUUUAAAUGAUAAUUUCGCUAUACCAUACAUUAAAAUUAUUAUUUUUUCAUAGUUUAGAUUGUAAAACUCUAUUAGCUGAGUUAAGACAAAUUUCUUUUACUUUUAUUAAGAAAUUUGUGAAUCAAGUUGCUCGUAUCAUGUAAGGGCAUCUAUUUCUAUGACUAAUUUACAUGGAGGGUAUGCUUUUCUUCUUUUUUUGUAUGACAUCUUAGCUUUUUGAUUCCAAGAAUAUGAACCGAAGCUCGGGUAUUCCUUUCAAAAAAUAAAAUAAUACAUUCCCUUUAAGAAAUUAUAUAUAUAUAUAUAUAUAUAUAUAUAUCAAUUUGUUGUAAAUAAUUAUUUUAAAAAAAAUGCAAAUUUGGUUAUAUAUUAAUAUAAUCAAAAGUCAAAGCAUCCAAUUGGAGGAGAAUAACCCCACUAUUGUAAAUAAUUCUUUAAGAGAUCAGUGUAGACAAAAUAAAUAAACUUCAAGACGUAAUACAAAAUUAUAUAACAUAUGUGUCAAACACUUAACACAACAAAUUGAACUGCUUUUGGGAAAUAUUAAAUUAGUUUUUAAUAUCAACGAUUCAAAACUAUAAUUUAAUUGCUCAAUAUGAAUAAAUUAAUUUUCGAUUUAAUAGCCAAAACUUGCAAAAUUGAAGAAGUUCGAAAUGUGUUUAAUUAGCUUAAAAAAAUCAUGAUCAUAAAUAUGAUCAUACAUAGGCACAUAAAUUUCACACUAUCCAUAUAAAUAUUAAAAAAAAAUAUUAUUUUGCAUAAAUUUCACACGAUCCAUGUAAAUAUAUAAAAACAGAGGUAUAGAAAUUGACAUGGCAUAAAAUUAGAUAUUUAAAGUGAUGACUUGACAUCUAACUUGGCAUUAUUUUUUUGCAUUUUUAAUUUAAUUAAUUUUUUUAUAAUUUUGCAUAUGUAUUAUGUUAAAUAAUUCCUAUUGAAAAGUGAUAUUAAAUCAAAUCUUGAGUAAUUGUAUUAAUGACAUCAAAACCAAUAUCAAGGAAUUGAAAAGACAAUCUAUAGUUAAGGAAUUUCUCUAAUUUUUCAUUUUCAAUACAAAUAUUUUGUUGUUCAGAAUCAUCAUUUAAAACUUUAUACGUUAUAUUUGCUUUUAUUUUAGCUUCUUUUCUUCUUAUCAUGUUUGUUUUAAUUCUUAAUUUAAAUUAUGAGAUUUCAAAUAUAGUACCCAUAUUUUAUAAAUUGGAUUGCAUUAAAAAUAUUAUAAAGUUUAUUGUAUUUAAAAUUCUAAAAUUCAUGUUACAUGUCAAUCAAAUCUAAAAUCAAUAAUAUUUCGUAAAUUUAAAAUAUACACAAAUUAGUUUCCACCUUUCAUUGUUCAAUUAAAUUACCUAAGUGGAUUAUUUAAAUAAAAGGAAAAAACACCUAAGAUCCUUCCUAACAUUUUUUUGUAAAAAGCAAUAUUUCAUAAUUUGUGCAUCGCGCAGGCUCACGACUAGUUAUAACAAAUAAUUUUUAAAAAUGACUAUUAUGAUCGGUAGAUGAACCGAAUGCAACAAUUUUGUUGGUUAAAAUAUUAUUCCAAGUAAUGUCACUACAAAAAAUUCAGCAAUUACUGAUAGAACUUUUUUCAUUGGUAAUUAGCGAUAAAUUACAGAUCGAAUUAAAUUUUGUUGGCAAUUAAGAGCACUAAAUAUUCACGCUAAUUUUUUAUUUCUACCAAUGGAUUAGCGACAGAUUACCGACAGAAUCACCGAUGAAUUUUAAAUUUCGUAGGUAAAAAAAUCACUAUAUGUUCGCACCUAUUUUUAAUAAUUUACCAAUGAUCACCAACCAAUUAUCCAUAGAUUAGCGACGAAAUAUAUUCCGUCGCUAAUCCAUAGCUAUUUACCAACAGAUUACCAAUAAAAUUCAAAAAAAUAAAAAUAAAAAUUAAGGCGGUAUAAAUGGGCUGUAAAUUAUCAAAUUUAAGGAUUUUAGAAUUUAGCGACGGAAAUUCCGUCAGUAAAUUUUAAAUAUUUUGGAGCCAUAAAUAGGCAGCAAGAUAAAUAAAUUAGUGACGAAAAUUUUCAAUUUACGACGAAAUUUCCAUCGGUAAUCGCAGAAUCUAUAAUAUAAAUUCAUAUAUUUCUUCUUCCUUCAUUUUUUCCUGUCAUUUUAUUUCUACUUUUUUUUCCUUCUUCUUCUUCUUUUUCUUUCUUUCUUUCUUUCUUCUUUUUCUUCUUCUUAUUCUUGACGUACGUUUCUCUUUUUUUUUUUUUUUUUACCUUUUUCUUACUCUUCUUUUACUCCUUUUGUUUUUUACUUCUUCUCCUUCAUGUUUUUAUUUUUCAUUCUAUUCUCCUUUUCCUCCAUUCUUAUAUAUAUUUUUUUUCCUCUUCUUCUUUUCUAGUUCUAUGUUUCCCUCAUUCUUCUUUUCUUUCUUCUCCUUCACCUUCUUUUCUUUUUCCUUCAUGUUCAUUUUUCUUCUUCUCCUCUAUUUUUAUUUUUCUACUUCUAUUUCAUCUUCUUUUUUCUUCUCCUCUUCUCUAUUUGUUUUCUUCUUUUCUUUUUCUUUUUUUUUUCUUCCUUUAUAAUUAAUUUUCUUUAACUAGCUUAGUUAUUAAUCAAAUUUAAUUGGUAUGAUUGUUAAGACGUAAUUAAUUUAGUUGAUUUGAUUAUUAAUUAUGAAACUUUUAAAAAAAAAUUCAAAAAUACUAUAAUUUAAAAUUUUUAUUUUUUAAAAUAUUUUAAAAAUACCGACGGAUUAGUGACAAUUUACUGACGAAAAUUGCCGACGGAAUAACAACCAUAUAUUUUGCAAACCAAUUACAAAUAAAUUAUAAAUAUAUCCUACCACUAAAUUACCGACGGAAUUAAUAAAUUUACUGAUGGAAUUUCCAUUAGUAAUUAUUCGAUGGAAUAAAUUUUUGGUCGGUAAUAUUUUAUCGACGAAUAUUUUCCGUCGGUCUUUCGUCGGCAAAUCUAAUUACCGAUGGAUUUUUAUAUUUUACCAACGGAAAAUUCCGUUGGUAAUAACUAUUAAAUUAUAGGGUAUGUCAUAAGUUAUUUUUUGGUAUCCACGUAUGCAUCUCUUUUACUGACAUUUCACUUUAAUUUCUAAAUUAUAAUUAUUAAAUUUUAUUUAUUUAUAAUUAAUUUCCAUAAAUUUAGAACUCAUUGAUUAGUAUCUUUAGCUGAAUGAGUUACUUUAAAAAUAAUAGCUAGAUGGAAGUUAACCAAGAUGUCUCUCACCGUUCACCGUUUUGUCGAGGGUGUUCAUUUUUACCCCUUUUCAUAGUUCUUCUUUAUUUUAUUUAAUUAUUUUUUUAUAAUUUUCAAAUCUAUAAAUUUUAACAAUAAAAUUUAAAUUUAGUCCCUCAGAUCUAUAAUAGUUUAUAGAUCUUGAGUGUUUUUUAUACCCUUUUAAUAUAGUUAUGUGUUUUAAUUGUUGAUUAUUGUAAUUGGAGACUUCAAUAUUCAAGUUUCGGCAAAUUUCUUUUUACCCUUUGGUACUGCUUUUCGGAAAAAUAAAGUUAUAAUUUAAUUUUCAAGAACCUGAGUGCAUCAAAUGGCUUGAUUCAAAAAAACCCAGUUCAGUAAUUUAUAUAAAUUUUGGAAGCACAACAGUUAUGUCCAAUGAGCAUGUAGUUGAGCUUGCUUGGGGACUUGCUAAUAGUACCCAUAACUUUUUCUGGAUAACAAGGCCGGAUUUAAUAAUGGGAGAUUCUGCAAUUUUGCCACCAGAAUUUUUGGUUGAAACUAAAGAAAGAGGAUUUCUAGCAAGUUGGUGUCCACAAGAAGAAGUUCUAAACCACCCUUCAGUUGCAGGGUUUAUAACCCAUUGUGAGUGGAAUUCAAUAGUGGAGAGUAUUUCUGCUGGUGUACCUGUAAUUUGUUGGCCAUUGUUUGGUGAACAUUUUGUUAAUUGUAGAAAAAGUUGCAAUGAAUGGGGUGUUGGGAUUGCAUUGAGUAAUAAUUUUCAAAGAAAUGAAGUUGAAAAUCUUGUUAGUAAUAUGUUGAUGUGGCCGUUGUGAGACCCUCACCAUAACAUGUCACUUACUACUGUAAAUUUGCAAGGUAUAAUUGUUAAAAAAAUUAGCUCAAAUUGUUAAAAUGCCAAAGUUUAUGGCUUUUUUAGUUAAUUUCAAGAAAAAAAACCGAUAUUUUUUUUAGUUAUUUGUAAAUUUUCAACACUCAUGUUAUAAUAAUUAAAUAUUAAAGAAGAUCUAAAAAUUCAAUAAAAUUAUCAAUAUAGUACAACAGGGAAAACCAAAUGUUGUAUAAUUAAUUAAUCGCAAAUUCGCUUUAAUUUGAAAGUGAUAGUAUUAUUUGUAAGAACCUCUUUAAUAAUAUUAUCGUGUUAUUUAAACUUGUUCUUUUCUUUAGAAAGAUCAACGUCAAAUACUUUUACACUAAGUUUUUCUUGAGAAAUUUAUACAUGAAUGGUAAAUAUUUAUCAAUCUUCAUUAUUGAAAUUUAUUAUAUAAAUGGUUAAGUUUAGCACCUUUCGAAUUUUCAAGUUAUAAUCUCCUUUUCAAAUUUUUUUCUUCCUUUAUUUUGUGUCAUAUAAUUAUUAUUUUCAAGUAAUUCUUAUUAAAAUAAAAUAACUUUUUUUAGCAUAAUAUUGAUUGUUUGCCAUUAAUUAUUAUAAUAUAUCAUUUAAAAUAAAAGUUAUUUAAUUAAAAUUUAUAAAAAUAUUUAACUAUAUUUAUUAAAUUAAAAUUGAAAAUUGCAAGUUAUAAAAUUAUUUAUUGAUAAAUAAAUUAUAUAAAUAUUAGAAAUUAAUUUUAAUAUCAAAAACCUGAUCUAUUGUCAACUUGUAUAUACACUUACCACUAGACUAUACUUUGGUGUGCAUGUAAUAAUCUUCACAAAAAUUGGUAAACUAAUAAACUUUGGCCUAGUGACUAAAAAAACCCUGAACUUUGGCAUUUUUUAACAAUUUUGGCCAACUCUUUUAAUAAUUAUACCUUGCAAAUUUACAGUAAACAAAUGACAUAUCAUGGCGAGGCUUUCACUAACGGCCACAUCAGCAUAAUAGUAAUAGUUGAUGAAUGGAGACCAUAAUUGUUAAGAAAAAAAAAUUACUUUGUAGUAUCAAUUGUAGCAAUUAAAAAAAUUGGCCAAAAUUAUUAAAAAGGCCAAAGUUCAUUUUUUUUUUUUAGUUAUUAGGCCUAAUUACAUUGUUGUAUUGAAAUAAUUUUUUCAAAUUGUUUAUUUUAGCUUUGAAGUUCGUCUUUUUCAAAUGUUCCAAUGAAAUUUUAUUUUCAAUUAGUUUUUUUUUUAAAUCGAAUAAAUAGUUUAAUAAUCGAGUAUUCCCUAAUCCACACAAAACAAUGGAAGAUAAGAAUUUGAAUUAUAUCAUGAAAUGAUCUCAUAAGCAAAAGAAGCUCAAGUUAAGGGCAUAACAAAGUUCUUCAAAUGUUAAGAUCAUAUUAACACCACGAUUCAGUCUUAUGAAAAUGAUUUUAGAAAAGCAUCUGAAGCUUAACCUCUCACCUUAUUUCAAAGAAUUUAUGGCAUUAGUAAUGAUAAAUAUGACUAUAUAGAUUGCAAAUUUAUGGAACAAAGGGAUCAGAAUCUGCAAUUUUGCCAACAGAAACUUUGGUUGAAACUAGAAAAGAAAUAAAGGUCAGUCUGAUCCUAAACUUGUUUAACAGGAUAAAAAGAUCAAAUUUGACCUUUCGGGCCAAUUUAUCUAUUGAACUUGUAUAGAAUGAUUAAAAAGAUCUGAUUUCACUUUUUAGGUCAAUUUAACCCCUGAACUUAUUUAAAAUGAUUAAAAAAUCAUAUUUGACAUUUUGAGUCAAUUUAACAUCUAAUUAUUCAUUGUACUUACAAUGUGAAAAUUAUUAUGAUUUUAAAAAAAAUAAUCAUAUUUGACAUUUUGAGUCAAUUUAACGUCUAUUUCUUCAUUAUACUUAGAAUGUGAAAAUCAUUAUAUAGAGAUUUGUUAAAACUAUAGUUGGGAUCGAUCUGAAUAAUUUAUUAAAAUAUUAAUUAAUUAUAAAAUAUAGAAAAAUGAUAUAUAAAGUAUAUUAUAUCUCUCUUUAUCUUAAUUAAUGGUUUUGAAUUUAUAAAUAUGUAUUAAUUUGAACAUUUUAAAAUUAACCUCUAUUACUGGGUUAUCGCUUAUGAAAUCUAUAAAUUUUUCAUGUUGAAUAAAUUAAAAUUAUAAUGCAUGUUUAUAAAUUUAUUAUAUUACAAUAAACGAUGUUUUUAUGAAUUUUAAAUUUAUAUUCAUAAAUGUUAAAAAAAUUUGAUCCGAGUGUUCUUAGUAUAGGACAAAAUGGAAUAAAAAGUCAAUUUAAAAAUCAAAAUAAGUUACUUGAAGGGUUAAAUUGGCUUAUAAGUGAAAUAGAAUCUUUUUAAUCAUUUAUACAAGUUUAAGGGCUAAAUUAACUCAAAAAAUCAAAUCUGACAUUUUUUAUCCUACUAAAUAAAUUCAGAAACCAAAUUGAGUUUUAUUCCAAUUUAAAAAAGAGGUGUUAUUACAAGUCAGUGUCCACAGGAGAAACUAUUAGAUCACCCUUCAAAUGGAGAGUUUAUGAACCAGUGUGGGUGGAAUUCAAUAAUGAAAAGCCUUUGUGUUGGGGUACCCUUGAUUUGUUGGCCAUAUUUUGGAGAACAUUUUGGCAGUUGCAUAAAUUGUUGCUAUAAAUUGGGUUUUGCAAUUAAAUUUUUAUUAGUGAUUUUAAAAGAGAUGAGGUAGAGAAGGUUGUGAAGGAGUUGAUGGUUGGAGAAAAUGGCAAAAUAAUUUAGGAUAGAGCUACAUAGUGGAAAUAAUUUUUUUCUAAAAAUUUGAACCGAAACAAAUCAAUUUGAUUUGAGUACAUAGGCAAUUCAAUUCAUUUCGAUAUUUUUGUAAAAAUUUUAAUUUGUGCAGUUUAUAUUGAUCCAAUUCAAUUCGGUUAAAUCAAACUGACUGAAUUCAUUCACUAAAGUUGAGCCAACUAUCGAUUUUAGAUGGACCUAAUUUAUUGGUUUAAUAUUCUUGUAGUUUUUGUAUAGUUUGAUAUCAUUCAAAUUAGACAUUGAUCAUUCCCAGUAGCCAUAGAAACAACGUCGUAUAAUUCAGGACAAAAACCCUUCCCUUUCCCUUCUUCAAAAUCUAUUAAUUAUAAAAAUUAUUGGACAAUAAUAUUGCAAAAUAAAAUAGAGAAGACACGUAUACAUAUUUUUUCUAAUUAAAAUAAAUAAAUAAAAAGUUAAACUAAAAGGAUAUUUAAAAAGAUAAAUAGAAUUUAUUUUCUCCAAUUAAAAGACAAUAAAAAAUACAACUAAAAUGAUAACUAAAUAGAUAUAUUAGGAAUUUUAAAUUAAUCUAAGGCUAUUACAGUAAAUUUCAUUAUUUCUUUUUAUUCCACAUUUAUAUAUAAUAUCGAUAUUUAAUUUAAAAUAAUUUUAAGUAUUAAAUAAUUAUUAUACUUUCUGCAUUUUUAGCAUAAGGACAGUACACUGCUGUGGCGGUGCCCACUCAAGUGGGACCCACACGUUUUUAUUGGUGAUGACGUGCCCACUCAGUGGAACCCGCACACGUGAUGAAAGAAAAAAAGAAAAGAAAAAAAAAGGAAAGAAAAAUUGGCAUGCAUUUUGACAAAAAUGGAGAGCCGUGAAUGAGUUAUACAUGGCUCUCUUGUCUACCUCUCCUAUAAAUAGGUGAACGUUUCUCAUCUCACAACACACAGCCACAGAUAGAAAUUAAUCUGUGAAGAGAGAUUUGAGAGUUAUUCAGUUUUAAGAAAGAGUUCUUAAAAUUAAGGGUCUAGAAAAAUAAUGAAAAUUAUUGGGGUGUUUUUUUGGGAAACACUUUUGAGUGCCACUAUUUUUGUAUUACUCUCUUUGUAAGCCUAUUAUUUUUCAGUGGAAGAACUAUUCGGAGUUGGUCCCGUGGACGUAGCCCUAAACAGUUAAUGGUGAACCACGUAAAAUUCUAUGUGUCACAAUUUUAUUCUUCCACUGCCUUAAUUAUUCUCACAAUUUAUUGUCGGUAUCCUAACAAGUGGUAUCAGAGCCGAAGUUUCAGGUCCAAUCAGACUGAUAGCGUACCUGAUCCGUGGAUAUAUUUUGAAAAUAAAUAUACCACGAUGAAGAGAAAAUUACGACGAGUCCAUUGGUGCAGUCCUUUGAAAAGACGUUGCAGAAUCAACUUAGUGGUGAAUAGUAAAAUAGUCACAAUUUUAUGCUUUGGAGAUGAGAAGCCAGUAUUAGUCGGUUACAUCGAUGCAGAUAUGGCUGGGGAUGUUGACUCAAGAAAGUCUACAUCAAGAUAUCUAAUCACAUUUGCAGGGGGCGCCGUGUCGUGGCAAUCAAGAUUACAGAAAUGUGUUGCUCUACAAACCUUAAGGGGUGAAUUAAUUAUUUGCUCUUAUUAAGUUUUAGGGUAUUUUAGUCUUUUUAAAAGGUUUUAAUGGAAAUAUAUAGAGAAAAUUGACGAAAGGACUAAGUGAUUUAACGAAAGUAAACCUUAAAGACUAUUAAUUAAUAUUGCCAAACUGCUAGGUGAUUUAGUUAGUUUGGUCAAAUCUCAUAGCCGAAUUAAUUAUUUUUUCUUUUUUUUUAUUUGAUCUAAGCUUGGGCCGACCUAGAAAAAAGUUAAAAAUUUCUUGUCCAAGCUCAGCUCAACUCGGCCCAUAGUUAUUAAAUCCGAUGGCUCAAACUAAAAAUCAGUGGACCGACUUCAAAAACGGAUCGAUUUUGCUUUUGAACCAUUUAACGAAGAGAACCGAAUUGAAUUGGCUGAUCCGUAGUGAACUAGUCAAGCCGCACAGAUCCGAUUGACAGAAUGAUUUUUUUAUAUUUUUUAAUUAUUAUUUAUUAUUAUUAUUAUAUUUAUUUAAUUAAUAUAUAUUAUUAAUAUUCUAUGACCCACUAACUGAUCCAUUGAUCCACUAAUUAAAUGAAUAAUCUAUCCAUCCGAUUCUUUUGCCGGAUCAAUAUCCGGGACGGGUUUAAUAACAUGGCUCGGCCAACCCGAACUUAUGUAGGCCUACAACUUUGCCUUCAUUUUCAAGCCUGGCUAAUCAUAAUUGAUCUCAUUGUGGGCCAACCUGAAUCAGGCCAGGCUUAAAAAUGAUUGCCCAAUUCUAGUUUUUGAAUUGGGCAAACUAAAUGGGUGGGGCGGAUAUCCGGUUCCAUGAUCAGGUCUAUAUAGGAGUGAGCAGCGAGCAUUAUUAUAUUCGAACUAAAAAAUAAAAUGUCUCAAAUUGAAUCCAAAUUAUUUGCAGAUCCAAGCAAUGAAGGAGCAGCAAAUAAGAAUUUAGACAGUGUAAUGGAAUGGAUACCAGGAAUGAAAGGAGCACAAGUUAGAGACCUCUCCAAAUUUUUCAAAUCAAAGCAACAAUUUGGCUCCAUGGAAGAUUCUAGUGAAGGUGAUUUAACAAGAGCCUCAAAAGCCUCUGCUGUUAUAUUCCAUAGCUUUGAUGCCCUAGAAAGUGAAGUCCUAAAUGACAUCUCACCCAUGUUUCAAAAGGUCUAUAGCAUUGGCCCUCUGCAAUUGCUUCUAGACCAAAUUGGUAAUAACCGUUACAAUUCUAUGGACUGCAAUUUAUGGAAUGAAGAACCUGAGUGCAUCAAAUGGCUUGAUUCAAAAAAACCCAGUUCAGUCAUUUAUAUAAAUUUUGGAAGCACAACAGUUAUGUCCAAUGAGCAAGUAGUUGAGCUUGCUUGGGGACUUGCUAAUAGUACCCAUAACUUUUUCUGGGUAACAAGGCCAGAUUUAAUAAUGGGAGAUUCUGCAAUUUUGCCACCAGAAUUUUUGGUUGAAACUAAAGAAAGAGGAUUUCUAGCAAGUUGGUGUCCACAAGAAGAAGUUCUAAACCACCCUUCAGUUGCAGGGUUCAUAACCCAUUGUGGUUGGAAUUCAACAGUGGAGAGUAUUUCUGCUGGUGUACCUGUAAUUUGUUGGCCAUUUUUUGGUGAACAUUUUGUUAAUUGUAGAAAAAGCUGCAAUGAAUGGGGUAUUGGGAUUGAAUUAAGUAAUAAUUUUCAAAGAAAGAAGUUGAAAAUCUUAUUAGUAGUAUGCUAAUGUGGCCGUUAGUGAGACCCUCAUCAUGACAUAUCACUUACUUACUCUAAAUUUGCAAGAUAUAAUCGUUAAAAGAAUUAGCUAAAAUUUUUAAAAAUGCCAAAAUUUAGGGUUUUUUUAGUCAAUUUCAAGAUACUCACAAAUUUUCAACACUGUUAUAAUAAUUAAAUAUUAAAAAAGAUCUAAAAAUCAAUAAAAUUAUCAAUAUAGUACGAGAGGAAAACCAAAUAUUGUAUAAUUAAUCGAUCGCAAAUUCGCUUUAAUUUCAAAGUAAUAAUAUUAUUUGUAGGAACCUCUUCAACAACAUUAUUGCUUUAUUUAAACUUGUUCUUUUCUUUAGAAAGAUCAACAUCAAAUAUCUUUACAAUAAUUUUCUUGAGAAAUUUAUACAUGAAUGUAAAUAUUUAUCGAUCUUUGUUAUUGAAAUUCAUUAUAUAAAUGGAAAAGUUUAGCACAUUUCGAAUUUCAAGUUAUAAUCUCCUUUUCAAUUUUUUUUUCCUUUAUUUUGUGUCAGAUAAUUAUUAUUUUCAUUUAAUUCUUAUUAAAAUAAAAUAGCUUUUUUUAGCAUAAUAUUGAUAGUUUGUUAUUAAUUAUUAUAAUAUAUCAUUUAAAAUAAAAAUUAUUUAAUUAAAAUUUAUAAAAUAUUUAACUAUAUUUAUUAAAUUAAAUUUGAAAAUUACAAGUUAUAAAAUUAUUUAUUGAUAAAUAAAUUAUAUAAAUAUUUGAAAUUAAUUUUAACUAUUAUCAAGUUGUAUAUACACUUACCAUUAGGCUAUACCUUAGUGUGUAUAUAAUAAUCUUGACUAAAAUUGGUAAACUAACAAACUUUGGCCUAAUGACUAAAAAAACCCUGAACUUUGGCCUUUUAAACAAUUUUGGCCAAUUAUUUUAAUAAUUUCGGUCAAUUCUUUUACAAUUAUACUUUAUAAAUUUACAAUAAACAAUGCCACAUUAGCAUAGUAGUAACGGUUGAUGAACAAAGACCACAAUUGUUAAGAAAAAAUUACUUCAUGGUAUCAGUUGUAACAAUUGUUGACGCGUGUUUUUAUACCCCGCCUGAUCCGAUGAGGACACGAGGAUGAAUGGGUCAAUGCCAUCUUUUAAUCCAAGGAUUUAAACAAAAAAAUAAUAAUAAUAAUAAAUAAAUAAAUAAAAAUAAAUAAAUAAUAAAAAAAAGAAAAAAAAGAAGACGCGUGCUACAGUAGCCACGUGCUUAGGUGAUUUAAACCAUAAAAAGAAAAAUUAAAAGAUAAAAAAAAACAUAUCAAUCCUUGAAAACAAAGCUUCUGGAGACAUUUGAUCCAUUUACAUUCCUCAAUCUGAGAAUCAGGUAAUUUUCUUAACAUUUUUGUAUUUUUUCUUUACAUAUUUUUGUGUUUUUUUUCACAUAUUUUUGUGAUUUUAGUAAUUUAAGCUUCUUUAAAUUGUAUUCUGUUCAUAUUUGGCUAUUUUAUAUGUCCUCAAAACAUAUUUAAACAAGAAAUGAUGUAAAAAAUCACUUAAAAUGAAUUCUGGGCAAAAGUCACGCAGCUGUUCAUCGAUGAACAGUAACUGUUCAUCAAUUUUCCCAGAAUUGAUCGAUGAACAGUAACUGUUUGUUCAUCAAUGAACAAUAUUGUUCAUCAAUUUUUUCAGAAAUAAUAAUAAUAAUAAAAUAUAAAUUUUACAUAAAAAUAAAUUUUAAGGACUGAGAAUGCCCAAAUAUGAACAGAUCACAGUUUAAUUAAGCUUAAAAUAUUAAAAUGUGAUUAUAUAUAUUUAUUUGUAUGAAUUUUAUUAUUUUAUUAUUUUAUUAUUUGUAUGAAUUUUUAUUGGUUUAUGGAUUUAAUUNNNNNNNNNNNNNNNNNNNNAAUUUGAAUAAUUGUUAUGUGAUAAUUAGAUUUGUUUGGGACGAUUAAAUAAUUUUUCAAAUAGGAACUCGGUCCGAUUUAUUUGGGUUGGGUUUAAGUAAACAAAUAAUUUGGCUUUUCUAACUAAAAUAAAUUAGAAAUCAUAGGUUAAUAGAGGCCGGUUUUCUGGGCGUCGGCUUCCAACGGGCCGACGUACCCAAUUCCCUUACCCAGAAUCGUAUUGAUGCGCCUGACCAGUCCUUUUGAAAUAAUUUGGCCUUAAAACAAAAUUGGGUUUAAAAUGGAGUCAUUUUUAUAAAAACGGUCACAUUGCCGAAACAAUGGGUGGCGACUCAAAAUUGUUUAUAAGACCGAUUUAUCGACACCGCAUCAAAAAUAAACACAUUUCAUCAAAAAUCACAAAAGGAUGUUUUCGGGUCCUUCGGGGGGAUUUUCGACGAAAACAAAUUGGCGACUUCACUGGGGAUACAACCACUAGUCCCCGAUUAUUUUUAAUAAUUAGUUGGUUGUGAUUAGGAAUUAACUCUAAAAACCUAUCUUUUCUAAAAAAAUAAAAUUGGUUAGAAAGCCGUUGGAAAAUUUUUAAUCGUCCGUAUAUGUUUAAUUGCUUUCCUUUUUUUUUAUAGGAUUUUUGUAUUCAUUCGCAUUUCUCUCUUCUCACCUCAUUCUACCCAUGCUACCCUUCGGUACUGGUGUUAAGUUUGACGGUGGAUCCAGCCUAAACCUUGCGUUUUAAGUACAUCCAUCCGAGAAUUAACAUUACUACCAACCGCAAGCCUAGUACCUUUUAAAGGUGCGUCAAAAGGAGUAAGCCCAUAAAAAAGCCCGAAUCCUGUUUGCGGAACCCAGACUUUGUAAAGCCUAAUGGACUAAAGUCCAUGCAUGUAGUCAAAAAAUCUUAGUUACUUACCCUAAGGAACACCUGAUUCUGUUUGCUGUUAUUAUGCCGCAUUCAUUUCCGAGAGUUUAUUUCGUCAAUCUCAAAACCCCCUGUUGGNNNNNNNNNNNNNNNNNNNNNNNNNNNNNNNNNNNNNNNNNNNNNNNNNNNNNNNNNNNNNNNNNNNNNNNNNNNNNNNNNNNNNNNNNNNNNNNNNNNNNNNNNNNNNNNNNNNNNNNNNNNNNUAUGUUGUGACAUUCAUGCACCACGUAAUAUUUUUCUUUUCAGCCAUGCAUUUAAGAGCUAAUUUCCGGUAUGGACGUUUGACCUUGAUUCUGAGACUGGAUCUCAAAUUUGUUUUGACUAAAAUGAUGCAAUCACUUAUAGCGGAUUUAUACCUAAAAGAAAAGGGAGAUAUAAGGGGGUUGCGAUUGUAUUUUCACAUUUUUCGCAUUAUCUGAAAAUAAGUGAGAGAUAUUUUCAAAAAAUAAAAUAAAAAAUAAAAAACAAAAAAAUAUAAUAAAAAAAAAUCUUUUUUACUCUGUCACCUUCAGGUUCGGGAGGCCUAGGGAUUUUUUGUCCUUUGUUUUUCAUUUCUUUUUAAUUUCUUGUGUGUUUUAUGCAUGUGCAUUUUGUAUUUUAUGCGUGUAUCCUCCCACGAUGAAGACAUUGUGUCUUUCAAGUGUGAAGGAGAACUAUAUUUUCAUUUCAUUUCACUUAUAAAAAAAAUAGACAAAAAAUUUGAUAAUUUAAAAAAAAAUAAAAAAUAAAAAGGGUCAACUUCUUUGCCUUAGUUCAAUGUUUUAGUCUCUACAUAUUGAUUGGUUUAUAUUUUGCUUGUUGAAAUAGAAGUCUUGAAUAAUAUACCAUGAUUAAGAGAUUUAAAUGAUUUUAUGAACUUAGUUAUUAAGAUAUGACAUAUAAAAUUUUUCUUUGCAAAUAUUAAUCUUUAAUUUAUCCUUGACAUUAGAGAAGCAUGAAUCCUAACUUAAAUGAAGAAUAGGAAGGAAAGGGAAACUAAAGNNNNNNNNNNNNNNNNNNNNNNNNNNNNNNNNNNNNNNNNNNNNNNNNNNNNNNNNNNNNNNNNNNNNNNNNNNNNNNNNNNNNNNNNNNNNNNNNNNNNNNNNNNNNNNNNNNNNAUGGUACGGAGCAUAAAAUGCAAUCACUUACUAUUUACAUUCCCCAUAAAAAAAUGCGGUACAAGUGGUACGGAGCAUAAAAUGCAACCACUUUGUGNNNNNNNNNNNNNNNNNNNNNNNNNNNNNNNNNNNNNNNNNNNNNNNNNNNNNNNNNNNNNNNNNNNNNNNNNNNNNNNNNNNNNNNNNNNNNNNNNNNNNNNNNNNNNNNNNNNNNNNNNNNNNNNNNNNNNNNNNNNNNNNNNNNNNNNNNNNNNNNNNNNNNNNNNNNNNNNNNNNNNNNNNNNNNNNNNNNNNNNNNNNNNNNNNNNNNAACACUUCAAUCUCUUAUCUUUGGUCUAUUACUUAAGAAGUCUAAAUCAACGAGCAAAAAUAAACAUGAUCAACAUGAGUUCAAAAAAGAUUAAUGUUUUGCUUAGGGACAAGCAAAGAGCUAAGUGCGGAGGAAUUGAUAGCUUCGCAAAGUGGGCAAAUUUUGUUAUUUUCAAAUGAUUUGCAUGACUGCAUGUUGUUUUUAUACAUUUUACGUUUGCUUGUGUUGUUUUUGUUUUAAAGUGAUUAUAGGAAUACAAUUUAAAAAAAAUAAUAAUAAUAAUAAAUUUAAAAAAAAAUGUUUUUUAUACAUGAGGGAGUUGCAUAUUUUAUCUCUUUUUGAAUAUUGCAGAUCACUCUAUCUUUUCAAAAAAAAAAUGUAAAUUUCCGUCUUUAGCUAAAUAAUCCACUUUAAUGUUCUUUCAUUUCUUAAUCUAAGGGCAGGAGACCCAAAAGCUAAUCCAGCAAAUAAUUCGAAAGAAAAGAUUUGUUGUUAUUUUUUGUUGUCUUUAAGUGCAGGAAACAGGCAUCAAUAAAGAGAGAAUCAGUGGAUUUAUUCAUUAAAAAGAAAAAUGAGAGGGAUACAAUAAUUGGGAGCUCAUAGCCCUCCGAAAUACAAAAAAAAGAAAAGCGGUGGAAGCAAAAAAAAAAAGAAAAGCGGUGGAAGCAUUCGGAGAAAAAGAGAUAGACAAAUGGCAUCUGGAUAAAGCGGUGGACCACUCUUGCAAUAGAUGAGCAUUUAUGCCCGCAUUAACUGAACCACUCUCGCAGGUGAGUUGGAUGCCUCCUUUUUAUUUCUAUGGCUUUGGUUAGCUUUCAUUUUUAUUACCUUUUAUCCAUUUUGGAAUAAAGUAGAUGGGCAUUUAUGCCCGCAUUAACAAGGUGGACCACUCUUGUGAAUGAGUGGUAUGCCUCCUUUUGUUUUUGUGGUUUUGUUUUCUCUGUGCAGGAACAAAGCAAAUCAAAAAUAAAAAGAAGAAAAAAAAAGAGAAGAGGGUAGCGAUGGAAACAUCCGGAGAUGCAGCACAUGGACAAGUGGCAUCCUAACAAAGCGGAAUAAAGCAAAGUCCNNNNNNNNNNCAUCAGGAAAAGUAUACCUGAAAAUUUGAGACAAAAAAAAAAAAACAGCAAUUUUUGCUAAAAUUUAAAAGACUUUUGUUAAAUUCAAAGUUGCAAUGGAUAAAAAAAUAAAAUUUUCAAGGUUUGCUUAAAAGAUAAUAUUUUUUGUCUCAGGACGGAAUUCCAGAUUGGGGGCAAAAAUAAAAUCUUUUGUCCUGAUGCAAAAUUCCAAAUUUCAAAAAUUACAAUUAUUAAUGCAUGGGGGCAUGUGAUGCUCCAACAUUUAACAAAGGCAAGAUCUGUUUGUACACAGAAAUUGCUCUUUCUCUCUUGAAAAUAUUUUCAAGCCAAGCAGUGAUAAUGCAUUACGAAGCUGUUUGGAUCUUUUUCUCGAUUCGUGAUGAUGCGUUACGAAGCGGAUCGAGUCAAUGUGUUUAGACGGUCCUUGAUAAUGUGUUUCGAAUAUCGGUGAUUUAAAAAAAAAAAAGAAAAGAAAAGAAAUUUAAUCUAUUAUCAAAGCACAUUGAUGUUAGAUAUCAAUGGAUCAGGGAUGUACCGGAGAUGAAGCAGUUACAGCUUGAGAAGAUCCACACAGAUGAAAAUGGAUAAGAUAUGUUAACGAAGAUUCUUCCAAAAGACAAGUUUGAAUAUUGUCGAUUAGCCGCAAGGAUGAUGGAGAGUAUGGCUAUAGUCCCCAUUUGAGUAUGCAGGGGGAGAUUUGAUGUGGCGGUGCCCACUGAGUGGGACCCACACACGUGAUGAAAGAAAGAAAGAAAAGAAAAAAAGGAAAGAAAAAUUGGCAUGCAUUUUGACAAAGAUGGAGAGCCGUGAAUGAGUUAUAUACGGCUCUCUCAUCUACCUCUCCUAUAAAUAGGUGAAAGUUUCUCAUUUCACAACACACAGCCACAGAUAGAAAUUAAUCUGUGAAGAGAGAUUUGAGAGUUAUUCAGUUUUAAGAAAGGGUUCUUAAAACUAAGGGUCUAGAAAAAUACUGAAGAUUAUUGAGGUGUUUUUUUGGGAAACACUUUUGAGUGCCACUAUUUUUGUAUUAUUCUCUUUGUAAGACUACUAUUUUUUAGUGGAAGAAAUAUUCGGAGUUGAUCCCGUGGAUGUACCCUUAACAGUUAAGGAUGAAUUACAUAAAAUUCUGUGUGUCACAAUUUUAACAUAAUUAUUCUCAUAAUUUAUUGUCGGUAUCCUAACAUAUACAAUCAAAAUCACCAAAAUGGUCAACAUUGUUUAAUUACAUCAAUCAAUCACACGACAUUUCCUCUUUAAAAAAUAAAUAAACCCUAUGACAUUUACAUCAAUAGACAAUAUAAAAUUAUUUAAAAAAUUUUCAAUCUUUAAUUAUUUAACCUUUUCAACAACUCUUCGUACAAUAUUCAAAGUUAGUUGCGUCUAAAACAUUAUUGUAUGAGUUAAAAACGGCAAACCUACCUCCAGAAAGAUAUUGUCGAGUUCGUAAGAAGCAAAGCGUAAAUAAUUACACCCCUUUUUGUUAAAUUCAAGUGAUUAUCUUUUGUAUUUUGUUUUGUUAUAUUGUUAUAUCAUUCUAUUUGUUUUAUAUUUUUUUAUUAGAUAUAAAGAUAAAUUCAUAAAUUUGCAAAGUAUAAAGAUGAAAUUAAUAAAUAAAUACAUGGACGGAUUAGUUAAUUUUGAUAAAGUAAUAUAAAAGAGAUAAAAAAAUAUAGUAAUGAAAUUAUAAUUAAAAAUACAGGAAUAAUAUUGUACAUUAUGGCAAAAUAUAGACGUUAAAAAUCACAACUUUUUUCCACCUAACAUUCAAAUGUUAAUAUUCUGAAUAUUUAUAAUUUUUUUUUGAGUUAAAGCGCAGACUCAACUUUAUAUUAUUUGGAUUAAAGAGAAAAGAAAAUAAGAGAAGUGCUAGUUUUGAAAACUUUUUUUUUUUUUUUUUGAGUAUCAGGGAGGGGAUUCGAAUCUAAAUCUUUUCUCAAACCGUAUAUGUAUUUAUCACUAGUUUAUACCUUGGUGUACUAAGUUUUGAAAAUAAUUUUUAGAUCGCAGAUAACUCAGGAAUGAUAAUAUAAUUAUCAGAAUUAUAUUAAACAUAAUAAACCUAGGGGUUGUAGCUCAGUUAGCAACACAGGCAAAGAGCUUUAACUAUGACUAAAUUCCAGCUGGAUUAGACAGUCCUUGAUAAUGUGCUUCGAAUAUCGGUCAUUUAAAAAAAAAAGAAAAGAAAAGAAAUUUAAUCUAUUAAACACAAAAAUUAUAUAGAACAUGUGCAUCAACUGGGCAAGUAUAAUUAUCAGAAUUACACAAGAAACUCUAUAAAACAGACAUUCAAAAUAUAUAGUUCAUGUGAUUUACUAAUAUUGUAUAUAUUUUUCUUCAAUUCAUGAAUGAUAAUAUUUAACAAUAAAUUGAACCACAUUAUUGUAAUAUCAUGAAAAUCACAUGCCAACUAACAAUAAAUUGAACUGCUGAGUUUUGUUGUACCUUUCAAAAAGUCACUUUACACAUAUUGAACUGCUGGAGUUUACCUAAGUCAUGUUAUCAUCAAGUCUUGCCCAUUAUAAAAGCACGUAAAGGCCAUAGCAUUUCCUUUAUCUUCGUUUCCAUCUUCCAUUGAUAAGUUGCUUAUUUUGCAAAUUUUGAAAAAAUGGUUGUUGCCGGUAAGCUCGAAGCAGAUGUGGAAAUCAAAGCUUCUGCGGACAAGUUUCAUGAUGUGUUUGGGUCCAGACCCCAUCACGUAAAGCAUGCUUCUCCUCACGUACAAGGUUGUGAAUUACACGAUGGUGAAUUUGGAAAAGAAGGCAGUGUUAUCUUCUGGAAUUAUGCUCAUGGUAAAAUUCCAACAUUUUUCUAUCUUAAAUACAUUAUGGAGAUUUGAACUCUUAAACUAGGUUUUUAAUUAUUAACUGCAGAUAAUUUUGAAGUUUUUUUAUUUUCUUUUUGAAAAUUUUCCUGAAAAUUCCAACAGAUGGAGUCCCUAGAGUUGCGAAAGAGAUUGUUGAAAAGAUAGACAAUGUAAACUUGUCUACCACCUUCAAAGUGAUUGAUGGAGAUUUACUGAAGGAGAAUAAGAGUUUCAAAAUCACUGUUAAAGCUACAUCAAAGGGUACUGGAAGUGUAGUGCACUGGACACUGGAGUAUGAGAAGCUGAAUAAAAAUAUUCCAGACCCUCAGUCUUUCCUUCAAUAUCUGAUUGAGGUCUCCAAAGAUAUUGAUGCCCAUCUUACCAAACCAUGAACUUAUAGCCUUAUCCAUCAAUAAACUGUUUGCUUGCUAUAUAUUAUAUAUAUGCGUGUGAUCAAGCCUACAGUGGAAUAAAUAUGUAAUAAAUAAAA
This 20589-nucleotide long non-coding RNA is filed under the name Jatropha curcas. Its description in RNAcentral is "long non-coding RNA (JCUR_LNC002023)". Lineage: Eukaryota; Viridiplantae; Streptophyta; Magnoliopsida; Malpighiales; Euphorbiaceae. The record is from RNAcentral.